UCUGCAAUGGUCGUGGCUGACAUUCGUUAGAGUGAAGAUCUCCAAAUACUUGUGGGUCCAUUCAAGCCAAAUCAUCAACCCAAUACUCUUCAGCCUUACACUGGAACAAAUAGGCCAAAAUUUCAAAAGGAGAGAUUCUUUGAUGAACAUCACUAUUUCAUCAGCACAAAUCCAUUUGAAUCUCCAAGGAUAAGGCGCAAUAGAUUCCGGACAACUACUAAUCUCAACUACUAUGGUAUUGUACUCUUUAAC
Molecule: long non-coding RNA, 252 nt
Filed under: Hordeum vulgare
Lineage: Eukaryota; Viridiplantae; Streptophyta; Magnoliopsida; Poales; Poaceae
Description: long non-coding RNA (HVUL_LNC009709)
Source: RNAcentral